RNAcentral lists this transfer RNA (74 nucleotides) under Candidatus Wolfebacteria bacterium CG_4_10_14_0_8_um_filter_37_11. RNAcentral's name for it is "tRNA-Met". It matches the Rfam family "tRNA". Rfam says of the family: Transfer RNA (tRNA) molecules are approximately 80 nucleotides in length. Lineage: Bacteria; Candidatus Wolfeibacteriota. The record is from RNAcentral.
GCCGGUGUAGCUUAAUGGUAAAGCAGAGCACUCAUAAAGCUCAGAAGAAGGUUCAAUUCCUUCCAUCGGUACAA